Molecule: long non-coding RNA, 317 nt
Organism: Alligator sinensis (Chinese alligator)
Lineage: Eukaryota; Metazoa; Chordata; Crocodylia; Alligatoridae
Exons: 3
Source: RefSeq, a predicted model, not a curated record
GCAACCCAGUGGUGUACAUGUAAUAUACUACCCCUGAUAAUUUUUGCCCUUCCUUUGCCACCACUGCCACCACCUGCAGUGUAUGUGCUACCCAGCCCCCUGCACCCGUGCUCAUGUACCCCCUACCCUGCUGUGCCCACUGCAGUGUUCAGAAUUGCAGAGCACAGCGGCAUCACCAGAAUGAGCCACAAUGAAUACAUAGUCCAGGCAGACACUGCCUGCCAGACCCACCACCCAGAUGCAGCAUCUCAGGUGAUACAUAGAAAACUUUCAUGAUCGGAAAUCACAGACCAAGACCAAUAAGGAUAAAAAGCAGC